GUCCACGCCGUAAACGAUGUAAACUAGCCGUUGGUUCUAUUUAAUAGAAUUAGUGGCGCAGCUAACGCAUUAAGUUGACCGCCUGGGGAGUACGGCCGCAAGGUUAAAACUCAAAUGAAUUGACGGGGGCCCGCACAAGCGGUGGAGCAUGUGGUUUAAUUCGAUGCAACGCGAAGAACCUUACCUACCCUUGACAUCCAGAGAAUCUGUUAGAGAUAGUAGAGUGCCUUCGGGAGCUCUGAGACAGGUGCUGCAUGGCUGUCGU
RNAcentral lists this ribosomal RNA (265 nucleotides) under uncultured bacterium. RNAcentral describes it as "partial 16S ribosomal RNA". It matches the Rfam family "Bacterial small subunit ribosomal RNA", at positions 793 to 1055 of the family's 1533-position model. The record is from RNAcentral.